GCCCGGUUAGCUCAAUCGGUAGAGCGCAAGGCUCUUAACCUUGUGGUCGUGGGUUCGAGCCACACAUCGGGCG
Molecule: transfer RNA, 73 nt
Filed under: Scenedesmus sp. NREL 46B-D3
Lineage: Eukaryota; Viridiplantae; Chlorophyta; Chlorophyceae; Sphaeropleales; Scenedesmaceae
Rfam family: tRNA
About the family: Transfer RNA (tRNA) molecules are approximately 80 nucleotides in length.
Source: Rfam by way of RNAcentral